This 103-nucleotide ribosomal RNA is filed under the name Colobus angolensis palliatus. Lineage: Eukaryota; Metazoa; Chordata; Mammalia; Primates; Cercopithecidae. The record is from RNAcentral.
AAAUACGGUCAUAUCACCCUGAACACACCUGAUCUCAUCUGAUCUUGGAAGCUAAGCAGGAUUGGGCCUGGUUAGUGGGAGACAAAAUAAAUUUUCUUAUAUU